Molecule: ribosomal RNA, 253 nt
Filed under: uncultured bacterium
Lineage: Bacteria
Description: partial 16S ribosomal RNA
Rfam family: Bacterial small subunit ribosomal RNA
Source: RNAcentral
UACAGAGGUCUCAAGCGUUGUUCGGAUUCGUUGGGCGUAAAGGGUGCGUAGGCGGCGCGGUAAGUCGGGUGUGAAAUCUCGGAGCUUAACUCCGAAACUGCAUUCGAUACUGCCGUGCUUGAGGACUGGAGAGGAGACUGGAAUUUACGGUGUAGCGGUGAAAUGCGUAGAUAUCGCUUGGAACGCCAAAGGUGAAAACAGGCUGCUGGGGUUGCGCCGACGCUGAGACACGAAAGCCAGGGGAGCAAACGGG